UGUAAUGUCUGAUUUAUUUUUUACUUUUUUAAAAUAAAUGCUAUCAUACAAACAAAAACAAAUAAAUAUACAGAUUUUAGUAUUUUCAAAUAGAAUAUAUGUAGGGUUAGUAAAGGAGACCUCUUGGCAAGGGGUCUCCUUUCCCAUAAGUUUGAUUCUAAUUACUACCACAAGGAUGUUAAAUUGGGGUGCAACGUCAUCAUAACAGCUUUGACUGGCAGCUGCAGUCACGGAGAAACUUGUCUAUCUCUGUUCGGGAAUAGCAGAUAGAGCGUAGGCUCUGAGAGGAGGGCCAGCGUUUACGUUACAAAACGACGACCGACUGUUUUAACCUAACAGACUGAGGUGUUCUUCAGUAAACUGGACUACCCGACAGAAGGACCCGAGGCCCCGCUGCACUCUUUCGGAGCUGCCCUCAGAUUCAGACCUCAGCACCACCCAGUGACAGCAGACAGAUCAUCCUAUAUCUUCACUCUUUGUAGUAACUCCAAAAUUAACUGAUGAAAACAGUACAAAGGUUAAAGUACCACAUGAUGUGCUGUCAGUGAAAGCUGCGGCUGUUUUAUUGAUAAAGUUACAGACAAAAAGUCAAAAGAAUUAAUCACCCAUGUAACUGUGUCACUAUAUAUCAGCAUUAACAGUACCUCAAUUUAGUGUUUCAGAAAGCUGCUGGUCUCAGACCUGCAGAGCUUCUGUUUUAAACACUGAAUGUACUCAGCUGCAUGAAGAGCACAUGAGAUUUUCUCUGACACAAUUAAAUAAAACCUGAUGAAGGUCAAA
Oreochromis niloticus (Nile tilapia) is the source of this 780-nucleotide long non-coding RNA. RefSeq lists it as uncharacterized. NCBI's taxonomy places the organism in Eukaryota, Metazoa, Chordata, Actinopteri, Cichliformes, Cichlidae. The transcript has 2 exons. The record is from RefSeq and is a predicted model, not a curated record.